RNAcentral lists this long non-coding RNA (5251 nucleotides) under Brassica napus (rape). RNAcentral describes it as "long non-coding RNA (BNAP_LNC004486)". The record is from RNAcentral. Lineage: Eukaryota; Viridiplantae; Streptophyta; Magnoliopsida; Brassicales; Brassicaceae.
AGAAGGAGUCUUUGAAGAAUAAGAAAGUCUAAGACCUUUGGUUUGAGAGGGAGGCUUUGCAGUUACGGAAGAGAAGUGAGGAGCUCGAGUUAAAUAGAGAAGUCGUUAGUUUGUUAUGCUUAUGAUUUGUAUGUGAUUGUAGAGAGACGAUAUGAGUCCUCUGUUUCCAGUCGCUAUGAGACUGUCGAUGGUGCUGAACUCGUGAUGAGAGUGAUUCAUUGUUGAGAUACAAAGUUGUAAACACUUCUUCAUUCUUAUUCAAUACACGAGUUUGGGAUUUACAAGUAAUAGAUAACUACAGUCUAUCAUUGGUACAGAGAAACUUGAUCGGAAGCACCGCGAGGUAUUGAGAUGGUGGAAACACGUAACGGAGGUGAUCAGGAGAAGAUGAUAGCAACGGAAGCUUCAAAAUCGGUGGAUCUUCAGCAGAUUCAAGAAGAAAUGGAGCUGGCGAAGCACAACUACGAUAAGCUAACUCGGAGUGAACGCGCAACGACGGCAAGAUUCGAUUCGAUGGAGAAGACGAUCGAAACGUUAGCGACUGAUUCGACGGGACGAUUCGAAGCUAUAGAGAAGCAGAUGAACCAUAUCACGGAUGUAUUGACUCGAUUGGAGAACUCAGUCGUCUUCACUCAACGUCAAGGGAAGGAGGUAGCAUCUACUUCGGAUAACAAUACUGAUCAGGUACCGAUUACUUUACCUGAAACGGGAAGAUCUCCAACACAGUUAGGUUAUUGGGGAAUCGAUGGUACUCUGGCGAAUCGGGAUAGAAUGCUGCGUAAAAUUGAAAUGCAUGUGUUCUCUGGUGCUUUGCCCUUCGAUUGGAUUUCUCGUGUUAAAAGAUUUUUCAGGUUUGGUAACUACAAUGAAGAAGAGAAGUUAAAUCUGGUAUCACUGAGUCUGGAAGGUCCGGUACUGCAGUGGUUUAACGGCAAACUGAUGAAUGAUCCGUUUGUCAAUUGGGAGCAAUUUACUCAGCGAAUGUUGGACAGAUUUGGUGGUGCUAUUGAUAAUGAUCCAGCAGCAAGAUUGUUUCGACUGAAGCAAGAAGGAGAUAUUGCAGAUUUUGUGAAUGAGUUUGAAGUUCUGAGGAACCAAGUGACGGGUGUGGAUGAAAAGAACUUGAUCAAAAUAUUGUUUAAUGGUCGCAAACCUGAUAUGAAAGAGGUGAUUCGCAUGAAGGAACCAUUGACUCUUACACAACACAAAUUGGCGGUGCUAAGAAUGCAGAGCACGACGUUCUGUAGCGUGAUUAGCUCGGCCGCUGGUGAAGGGCGGGGAGGCUGACAAAGACAGACGUCGGGAACUCGUGCUGCGUCAUAUACGAGUAAACCACAGACGGAAACUCAGAAGAGCGACUCAAUAGUAAACAAGGAGAACACACAAUCGCAAUGUAACUAUGUGAGACCACGUCUUUUACACUCUGAUGCAUAACUUGAUCGCAUGAGAAGGGAUAAGAUCUGUUUCAAGUGCAAAGCACCGUGGUCCCAGGCUCACAAAAUGGAGUGUCCAAAUAGAAUGUUACGAGUACUUACGGUGAUCAACGGAUUAGAAAUGAAAGUAAUGGAUUCCGUGGAGGAAGAAGAGUUCCAUGAUUCAUCGAAUCAACAAGUUCUACAUACGUUAUCAUUGAAUUCUUAUUUGGGCAUUGACUCUCCGAAGACUACGAAGAUGAGAGGUUUCAUAAACAAUACAUAGGUGAUAGUCAUGCUUGAUAGUGGAGCAUCUCACAACUUCAUUACACCUGACGUUGUGAACAAGCUAUGUUUGAAAGUUUCUGCGGAUAGUAUCUUGAACGUGUUGUUGGGAAAUGGAGUGACUGUGAACGCAUUGGAAGUAUGCCAAGCAGUUUCGUUCUAAUUAAAUCAAACCAACUGCACAAGUGACUUCAUCUCUCUUGAACUGGGGAAUGUAGAUGUGAUACUCGGUAUUCAGUGGCUUGAAACGUUAGGCAAAUGCGAGGUAGACUGGAAGGAACAAGUCUUGUCGUUUGUCUACAACGGGAACAAGGUGACUUUGUUAGGCGAGAAGGAGUUACAUUGCACCAAGUUCUCUUUCAAGUCAUUGAAACCAUUCUAUACGAGUAGCAAGACAGGAAGGGAAGCGCUUCUUGCUACUUCUAUAGCAACAUCUCCAUUUCCAGAAGUUCGUGAAUAAUUCACCCAUUUACUUCAGGAGUUUGCGAUGUGUUCGCCAUUCCGACUACACUACCACCAAUUCGUGGUCAAGAACAUGCGAUCAACUUACUUCCUGGAGUAUCUUCGGUCUCUGUCCGUCCAUACCGAUACCCCCAUGCUAGCAAAGUCACAUUGGAAAAGAUGGUUACAGAUAUGUUAGCUGCGGGUAUUAUACGACCAAGCACAAGCUCUUUCUCUUGUCCGGUUCUACUGGUCAAGAAGAAAGAUGGCUCAUCACGGUUUUGUGUGGAUUAAAGAGCACUAAAUCGGACCACUGUAUUGGAUAAAUAUCUAAUUCCUGUAAUUGAUCAGUUACUCGAUGAAUUACACGGCGCUGCGGUCUUUACCAAGCUUGAUUUACGUUCUGGUUACCAUCAGAUCAGGAUGGUGGAGGAAGACAUACCAAAGACUGCAUUCAGAACAAUUGAAGGACAUUACGAGUUCUUAGGCAUGCCUUUUGGAUUGACUAAUGCACCUGCUACCUUUCAAGCUCUGAUGAAUAAAGUGUUCAAGCCAUUUUUUCGCUGCUUCGUCUUGGUCUUCUUCGAUGAUAUCUUGAUCUAUAGUCGGAACCAUGCUGAGCAUGAGGAUCAUCUUAGACAAGUGUUACAGGUGUUGUGUGAUCAGAAAUUAUUUGCUAAUGAGAAGAAAUGCACAUUUGCGGCACCAAAAGUGGAAUAUUUGGGUCAUAUUAUAUCUGAACAAGGGAUAGCUACUGAUUCAGCAAAGACGGAGGCGAUGACUCAAUGGCCAAGUCCUCAGACAGCGAAACAACUACGUGGUUUCCUCGGUUUGACGGGAUACUAUCGCCGUUUUGUUCAGUAUUAUGGCACUAUUGCUCGACCGUUGACUUCGUUGUUAAAAAAAGAUCAGUUUGCGUGGACUUCAGAAUCUCAGGAAGCUUUUGAUAAGUUGAAGAAAUCAAUGGUCAGUGCUCCAGUGUUAGCUCUACUUGACUUCUCUCAGGUGUUUGUGAUCGAAUCAGAUGCUUCAGGUUAUGGGUUGGGAGCCAUUCUAAUGCAGAAUAAAAGGCCUAUCGCAUUCUUCAGUCACGCUCUGACUCCACGGAAUGGCGAUUGUCAUGGCUAUAAGAAAAUGGAAACAUUACCUUCUCGGUCGAAAGUUUCAUGUUCAUACCGAUCAGCGAAGUUUAAAAAUUCUACUGGAGCAGAAAGAAGUUAAUCUCGAGUAUCAGAAAUGGUUAACGAAGAUUUUGGGAUUUGAUAUUGAUAUCUUCUACAAACCAGGUCCGGAAAACAAAGCCGCAGAUGGUUUAUCUCGUUGUAUGUCUGCUGCAUUGUUGUUGUUGUCUUUGACGUCUCCUACUGCUCUUCAAUGGGAAGAUUUAUAUAAGGAAAUUGACGAUGAUACAAAGAUACAAGCUCUUAUUCAGAAACUGCGUAGUGGGGAAUUGCAAUCUAAGAAGUAUACUGAGGUGGAUGGGAAGUUGUGGUCGAAGAGGCGUCUUGUUAUUCCACAGACUUCAAGAUUCAUUGCUGACAUUUUACGUGAGGUUCACGAUAGUAAAUUGGGAGGUCAUUCUGGGGUGUUAAAGACUUUGAAGAGAGUGCAAUGUUCCUUCUAUUGGAAGGAGAUGUAUAAACAAGUUCGAGAGUAUGUGGCGGCUUGUGUCAUUUGCCAAACACACAAACAUUCAACCUUAUCUUCAGCUGGUCUUUUACAACCUCUCCCUAUUCCGGAGCAGAUUUGGGAAGAUAUUAAUAUAGAUUUUGUGGAGGGGCUUCCCGUUUCCAAUGUAUUCAAUUCGGUUAUGGUGGUGAUUGAUCGUUUAAGCAAAUUUGUGCAUUUUGUGUGUCUUAAACAUCUGUUUACUGCAUUGGAUUUGGAUGUGGCAAAAAAAUUUGUGAAGGAGAUUGUUCGUCUACAUGGGUUUCCGAAGAGUAUCACGUCUGACAGGGAUAAGAUUUUUCUCAGUUCCUUUUGGAAGGAGGUGUUUCGUCUCACCGGAACUAAGUUGCAGUAUAGUACUGCCUUUCACCCUCAAAUAGAUGGACAAUCUGAGGUGUUGAAUCGAUGUUUGGAGUCUUAUUUGAGAUGUUUCUCUUCCUCACAUCCGAAAUCAUGGUAGUCGUAUUUGGCAUGGGCAGAACUCUGGUACAACACGACCUAUCACAAGUCUAUUCAGACGACUCCGUUUAAGAUUGUGUAUGGUCGUGAUCCUCCAUCAAUACUGCGUUUUGAAUCAGGUUCUACGAAUAACUUCGAGUUGGAGAGAGCCUUAAGGGAACGAGAUGAGAUGUUGUUAUUUUUGAAGCAAACAUUAGCCAGAGCUCAAGAAAUUAUGAAGUCACAAGCGGAUAAAUCGAGGAGGGAUGUUCAGUUGAAGGUUCGAGAUAUGGUGUUUCUGAAACUUUAACCGUAUAGACAGAAGUCUGUGGUGAAUCGAGUGUGUCAGAAGUUAGCUGUGAAGUUUUAUGGUCCAUACAGAGUGCUUGAGCGUAUUGGAGCCACAGCUUAUAAGUUGCAGUUACUUCCAAGUGCCAAGAUUCAUCCGGUAUUUCAUAUAUCACAGUUGAAGUUGGCAUUGGAUUCUCAUGAUCAGUUGUUCCUGAGGAUAUUCUAGAGAAACGUUAUGAUGCGAAGGGUGAGCUGGAGUUGUUGGUCAAGUGGAAGGGACGUUCUUCGUUGGAAAACUCGUGGGUUCUCUAUCUGGAAUUUGUGACCAGUUUUACUGAUUACCAGCUUAAGGGCAAGCUGGAUUUUGUUGGGGGAAGUAUUGAUAGGUUCAGGAAAGUUUAUAUACGUAAGAAGUUGAGGGGAAAGGAGAAGGUGACAGAGGAAAGCGAGGGAAAUAUUUCAAAUGGAGAACCUGUGGGUUGAGAAGGAGUCUUUGAAGAAUAAGAAAGUCUAAGACCCUUGGUUUGAGAGGGAGGCUUUGCAGUUACGGAAGAGAAGUGAGGAGCUCAAGUUAAAUAGAGAAGUCGUUAGUUUGUUAUGCUUAUGCUUUGUAUGUGAUUGUAGAGAGACAAUAUGAGUCCUCUGUUUCCAGUCGAUGGUGAUGAACUCGUGAUGAGAGUGAUUCAUUGUUGAGAUACAAAGUUGUAAACACUUCU